AAUUGAGCAUAGAGGUGUGAAGUGAAUCAUGGCUCCCUCUAACUUCCCUCUUCGUUGGGAGAGUACAGGAGACAAGUGGUGGUAUGCAUCUCCUAUUGAUUAUGCUGCUGCAAAUGGUCUAUAUGAUCUUGUCACUGAGCUUCUUCACCUUGACACCAACCUCCUCAUCAAGCUCACUUCCCUUCGAAGAAUCCGCCGCCUUGAAACCGUGUGGGACGAUGAGGCUCAGUUUGAAGAUGUUGCCAAGAACCGCUCCAAGGUUGCAAGGAGUCUUCUGAGAGAGUGUGAGACAGUAAGAGGGGACAACAAAUGGGUAUUUAGUGGGGACGUUCCUUUGUCUUUUCCACUGCAAUUUUUUUUUUUUUGUGAAUUUUUCCACUGUAAUAGUACUUGAUUCAUUAACACUACAUUGAUUUUCUAUUUGUCUCUAUUUUUUUCUAUUAUAUUUCUCAUCAUAAUUCAUAUCUUUCAUUUCUAUUUUUUCUUUUGCAAUCCCUCUUUUAGUGUAGCUUGAAUUGGAGUGUGAGAGCUUAUUUUUUGACAUGAAGAGAAUAUUAUAAGAUGUGGUUGAGAUAGAAAAAUGAAGAGAACAUAUAAGAUGUGUUUACUUUUAGGAUUAUUCUUUUUUCCUUCCUCUUUUUUCUAAAUCACACGCAUUUAAGAUCUGGUACGCCAAACGAAGAACGCCACAAAAGCUUAUUAUGGCUUCCAAAGUUCAGCAAAGGCAAAUAAUUUUUGGCCCGCAAGUUAUGCAAAUUAAUCAAUCAUGUAAGGAAAUUUGUGCCUUAAUCUAUGAACAAUAAAAUUUCAUGUCCACAAAAUUCUUUUUUAUCUUCAUGUGUCCGGCUAAAUGAGUGCUCCAUGUCAUGCCACACUUGACACAAACCUCGAAAUUUCCUCUACUGAAUGAAAUCAAACAAACAACCACAAUCAUAGUGGGGUCAAUGGAAUUACAACUUACCAUAAUCUAAUAAAAUAAAAUACUCUUAUUCUGUGAGCUCACGGACCAGAGAAUCUCAAUCUUUCUAAGCCUUCUUUUUAACUUAUUCUCCACUAUAGAUAACAAUUAACAAUUAUCCUCCAUCACAAAUCCAGCAUUAGGGACAUUUUCCUUUUGUCAUUUAACAUCCUGCACCAACUAUUUAUAGUAUAUGCCAACAUGUUGGUUCCUUGUAUACUUCACUGUUUACAAGGCUAAUUCUUAAUCUCACUUCCUAGAAUUUUCAUCCCAUUAUAGCUUUUCAACAACUUUCAAUCCAAGAGAAUAAACACUUACACAAAGAACUAAAGCAUAUCUUCACUUUACACUUUUAAGGGUGUCUGAAAAACCAGUUUUUUCUUCUGCUUGAAAGUGGAAAUUGAGCAUAGAGGUGUGAAGUGAAUCAUGGCUCCCUCUAACUUCCCUCUUCGUUGGGAGAGUACAGGAGACAAGUGGUGGUAUGCAUCUCCUAUUGAUUAUGCUGCUGCAAAUGGUCUAUAUGAUCUUGUCACUGAGCUUCUUCACCUUGACACCAACCUCCUCAUCAAGCUCACUUCCCUUCGAAGAAUCCGCCGCCUUGAAACCGUGUGGGACGAUGAGGCUCAGUUUGAAGAUGUUGCCAAGAACCGCUCCAAGGUUGCAAGGAGUCUUCUGAGAGAGUGUGAGACAGUAAG
Molecule: long non-coding RNA, 1653 nt
Filed under: Lotus japonicus
Lineage: Eukaryota; Viridiplantae; Streptophyta; Magnoliopsida; Fabales; Fabaceae
Description: long non-coding RNA (LJAP_LNC001912)
Source: RNAcentral